Molecule: ribosomal RNA, 497 nt
Filed under: uncultured bacterium
Lineage: Bacteria
Description: partial 16S ribosomal RNA
Rfam family: Bacterial small subunit ribosomal RNA
Source: RNAcentral
GAUGAACGCUGGCGGCGUGCCUAAUACAUGCAAGUCGAGCGAACAGACGAGGAGCUUGCUCCUCUGACGUUAGCGGCGGACGGGUGAGUAACACGUGGAUAACCUACCUAUAAGACUGGGAUAACUUCGGGAAACCGGAGCUAACACCGGAUAAUAUAUUGAACCGCAUGGUUCAAUAGUGAAAGACGGUUUUGCUGUCACUUAUAGAUGGAUCCGCGCCGCAUUAGCUAGUUGGUAAGGUAACGGCUUACCAAGGCAACGAUGCGUAGCCGACCUGAGAGGGUGAUCGGCCACACUGGAACUGAGACACGGUCCAGACUCCUACGGGAGGCAGCAGUAGGGAAUCUUCCGCAAUGGGCGAAAGCUUGACGGAGCAACGCCGCGUGAGUGAUGAAGGUCUUCGGAUCGUAAAACUCUGUUAUGAGGGAAGAACAAAUGUGUAAGUAACUAUGCACGUAUUGACGGUACCUAAUCAGAAAGCCACGGCUAACUACGUG